GAAUCUUGAGAUAAGCUACAAGUCUCUAGAUGAUCAUGACCAGAGGUUGUUCCUCCUUAUUGCUUCGUUUUUUGUUGGGAAGGACAGAGAUUAUGUUAUCAAAAUUUUAGAGAACUGUGAUUUGCACCCAAUGGUUGGAAUUCAGAACCUCAUUGACAGAUCCCUCAUCAGCAUUGAUGACGAAAACAAAGUGAUGAUGCCUCCACUUAUUCAGGAUAUGGGGAAAGAAAUUAUUCGUCGAGAAUCACCAGAUGAUCCCGAGAGAUUGUGUAACUUGUUGAACCAAUGGGGUCUAUCAAAUUACUUGACCGAAAACAAUGUAAGAAUCUUUAACUUUUCUGUUCACAUUAGCUAGCUUGUCUUAGUAGAUUCCGGAAGUGUUCUUGUUUCUCACAGAAUCUUUUGUUGAACAGGAGAGUGAUGCAGAUGGAGGAGACCUCCCAAGUGCACAUCUGCCGGAAGAUGGUCUUGUACCAGCAGUUGGUCCUAAUGUUGCAAAAAGACCAUAUUAUCAAGAUUUUCCAGAAAUAGCCAUUCUGCCAUACCUCGGUCAUUCAUUGAAAAGGCGCUUUGUAGGACUUCUUUCGACGUUCCCAAUAUCUGGUGGCUUCAAAAGAUUCUUCCCAUGACAAUGGCUUCUUUCUUUUGGAAAAACCAACACUGUACUGCUAGAAGAGUCAGGUCUUAAUCAGAAUAACUGUCCCGAUAAUAUCGAUUAAUGCUUUCGACAUACUGUGUUAGUUGCACAAAUUUUUAAGUUGUAGAGGUGCAUUCAGUCCUGUUCUUUUUGAUCAGCUUCGGUUGAGCGAUGUGUGUAAAUUAUGUUUCAUUGUACAGUCAUAAAGUCAUUUCUUGCAUAGUUCACUGGAAGGAACAAAAACUAUAACCUUGCCAUUCAUUCCUUUUUAGUCUCCAAAAAUGUCUAAAGUUUUACCUCUUUCAUAUUUCUAAUCAUUUACUCUCAGAGAGUAUUUUCAUUUUUAUAGGAAAUAAAUACAGGUUCAAACCAUAUCCAACUUUUACAUGAGUUAUUUCACAGUGAAUAUAUAUCAUGGUAAGUAGGAACUAGGAAUAAAAGCUCGGUCUUAAGCUUUUAGUGGGAUAUAGUUAUGGCUAAAACUUAAAUGCGUAAGGAGGAUAUCGACUUGUUACCAACAGUGAAUAAAGUUAUUCGGUACUUUUGUGCUGGUAUAUAUGCCCCAAGCUAAUUCCGGACACCACCAUAAUUGAAAAUAAAAGGGGGUUUUCAACUUGUCAUUUCAAAGGCGUAAAAUCACACAUUGAAAUUUCAGGAAUUUGUGUCUUCACAUGGAGUUGGAAUAAUAAUAUGCCAAUAUUUAUUGAAAAGAAAAUACAAUUAUCAGAAUCGGAUUCACUAAUAAUUGUCCUAGUGACCGUGAAGUCUAAAAUCCAAUAGUAUUUACCAAAAACAUUUAGAAAUCUAAGAUAAUUCAAAAUAUAAAGAAGUAAACAUAUAAUGAAAUCAAUGAGUCUCACCAUCUAUCAUUUAUAAGAUAUGCUUAAAAAGUAUUAUUAUCUUAUAUAUAAAUUAAUUUUUGGACAAAGGUGUUCAAAAACCCCCUUCCGAUGUCCGCCCAUAGUUUGGUACUUGUCUUAAUGGAUUCAAUUGAAUUUAAUAUUAGACACAAUACAAGAUAUAUGUUUUUUUUUUUUUAACUGAUACAAGAUAUAUGUGAAUAAUACAAAUUUUAACAAACAUUGAAAUUUGUUACACAAGAAUUUCUCCAAAAUAGCAAGAAAAAAAAAGUUGGAAAAAUAAUUGCCUGGAAAGACAAGGGACUAAUGGGUGCCGGUCCAUCGAGGAUAAAUAGCAAGACAUAAUGUAAAAAAGAGUCUGUGCUUUUUGAAUUUUGAAGCCAAAAUCCUAAAUGUAGUAUGUAAAAAACCAUAAGUCAAAAGCAAAAUUGUGCACUCAAAAUAACAUGUAUUGUCUCCUAUGAUGCUGUCUAUUUGUCAAAAGAAACUACAAUAUUAGAUAGGGGUGGGCAUGGUAUGAUACGGUACAAUAUUUUAAACUUUAGUACGGUAAUUUCGAUUUUCUGUAUUUAAAAGAAAAAUAUCAUUAUCAUAUCAAAUUAAUUCGGUAUGGUUCGGUAUUUUUAAAUUCAAUUUCGGUAUUUUGCGGUAUAGUAAUUCGGUAACCAUACUUUAUUUGAUUUCUCCUUACAUAUAUUCAUACAAAAAAAACUAUAACUUUAAAUUUUAAAAAGGUCUCAAUCAUAUUAGACUAACAACUAUCUUUGUUAAUCAAUUACACAAAAAGAACAUUUCAAUCACUAUUGAAUAGUGCGGGAUGCAAACUCUGAACAACAUUACCUAAGUUUAAGCAUAAUACUCCUAAAUAAUAAGCUUCCCAAAAAAUUUAUUUCUUAAUAAAAAGUUACUUUUGUGUUCAAUUGACUGAUGGAUGAUAUAUAAAUAUAUUUAAUAAUCUUAUCUAUCAAAUACCAUAACAUCCAUACCGCGAUAUAAAAAAUUUCAGUUUCGACCUGCGGUAUAUACCAUAUCAUGCCCACCCUUAAUAUUAGAAGUCCUAAUUUAAAUGAUUGUGUUUCGCUAUGCAUAGAGUUUAAAAGUAAAAGGAACACUUUUAAACCUUAGUGUUUAAAACAAGUCAUAUGAUAUUUGUGUGAUUACAAAUCGUCUACUAACAGUAAUUGGUUUUCAAGAUUUAACAAAAACAAAUACACAAUGGAAGCUAACGAAUAAACUGGUAUAGGUGAUAUCGAUUAGUUGGAUUACACCUUAAUUAGUUGUAAUUACAAUAUUUUACUUCUUGCUAUUUGUAUUGUCUUUUUAAUCUAUAAAUGUCGAUAUAAGGUUAAGUAUGUGAUUUUAAAAAAAUCAACAUUAUGAGUGAACCCUUAAUUUGCCUUAAAAAAGACAAAUCUGUUUUGUGUUGGAACAAAAUUAGCUUAAAUAGAGGAUACAUGUUGGUUCUCUAAGGUCAUAAUCAUGGAAAGAAGAAAGCAAACAAAUAAGAUAAAUUUUUCCAAUUUAAGUAUUCUAGAAUGUAAGUUCAUAUCAGUUGAAAAGUAAACAUAAUUUUAUUUUCAUGUUUUUUCUAAUUUAAACUCUUUUGUUUUCCAUAAGGUUGACACUGAAAGCUUGCACAUGGGAGGUAUGAAAUCUCAUUGUAGAAGCUCUGUGUGAUGUACUAAAUUACUCUCACCAUCCCAAAAUAUUUGCCAUGCUUUGUUUCUCGAGAUUAAAUUUGAUUAAUCUUCGAAAUUAAAGUGACUGAAUUAAUUUAGCAAUUUAAAAAUAAAAUUUAAAUAUUCAAAAAGUGUAUAAAAGUGCUAUAAAUUCACAUAUUUUGAUUCUCGAGAAGCGAAAUGUGAUAAAAUACUUACGUGACUGGGGCAGUAACAUCUUCUUACCUUGGUUUUCCCAAAUCUAGUUGCAAUUACUUAGUGAUAAAACUUUAUAAUAAUAACUCUAUAUAUGUAAAAUGUAUUGCGAAUUUGCUGUCAUUUACAAGGUUAGUUAAUAAAUCUGUAAUGUAAACUCUAGAAAUGUACUUAUAUAUUUCCUGUUGAUUUUGACAUGUAGAAACAAUGCAUGUACCUUCUUAGACAGCAUGCAGAAUCAAAAUCACCUAUUUAUGGCUUCUAAAAAAUUGUUUCUCAAAGAAGAGUCUUUUAUCAGUGAUUGAUGAAAACAACAACAAAAGAAAAGAAAAAUGUCUCAGUUUGCUUAUCAUGCAUUUCUGAGUCUAGCAACAAGGAUGGACAAGUCCUUUGGAAAUCAUCUUCAUUCAGCUUUAUCAAAUGUUGGUAUUAGCGCAUUCAGUGUUGAAUCCUUAAGACUCUUUCAGUUGGUAUGACUUUGCACAAGACCACCCUUUAAAAGAGUUCGAAGGAGCUCUCAACAGAUGCAAUACAGCAUUGUGGUGGGCUUCCGUUAGCCCUCUAUGAUUUGCGUUCUUUUCUUUCACGGAGAGAUAUGGAAAUUAUAUGGAGAAGUAAACUGCAGAAAUCGGAAGCAAUCCCUCAUAGCAAAGUUCAAAAGAAUCUUGAGAUAAGCUACAAGUCUCUAGAUGAUCAUGACCAGAGGUUGUUCCUCCUUAUUGCUUCAUUUUUUGUUGGGAAGGACAGAGAUUAUGUUAUCACAUCUUAGAGGACCGCGAUUUGCACCCAACGGUUGGAAAUCAGAACCUCAUUGACAGAUCCCUCAUCAGCAUUGAUGACGAAAACAAAGUGAUGAUGCCUCCACUUAUUCAGGACAUGGGGAAAGAAAUUGUUCGUCGAGAAUCACCGGAUGAUCCCGAGAGAUUGUGUAACUUGUUGAACCAAUGGGG
RNAcentral lists this long non-coding RNA (4321 nucleotides) under Capsicum annuum. RNAcentral describes it as "long non-coding RNA (CANN_LNC013113)". The record is from RNAcentral. Lineage: Eukaryota; Viridiplantae; Streptophyta; Magnoliopsida; Solanales; Solanaceae.